GUUUCGUCGUCUAUAUCUUUUUCUCCGAUGAUAUAGUCGAAAAUCGCGUCGAACCUUCCGGGAACAGUAAAUGCUUGGGCUAAUGGGGUAUGCAGCCAGACAUUUUAGUUUGCCUUUCUGACGUGGUAGGUGAUUCCCUGUUUUUUUAUAGACGGAAGUAAGUGAUUUUCUUGCUUUGGCGUGACUAUAAAUCCUACAUGAAACAAGCGAAAUCACAAAGCACGCAUCUUCAAAUCUACGUCGACGAUAAGGAUAUUGGAUUGCGAGAAUUAU
Molecule: unclassified non-coding RNA, 273 nt
Filed under: Hevea brasiliensis (rubber tree)
Lineage: Eukaryota; Viridiplantae; Streptophyta; Magnoliopsida; Malpighiales; Euphorbiaceae
Source: RNAcentral